Cyprinus carpio (common carp) is the source of this 291-nucleotide long non-coding RNA. RefSeq lists it as uncharacterized. Lineage: Eukaryota; Metazoa; Chordata; Actinopteri; Cypriniformes; Cyprinidae. The record is from RefSeq and is a predicted model, not a curated record. The transcript has 3 exons.
UUAUCAUCCCUCCACCUCCAGUGAGGCUGGUGAAAAACAUGAGCUUCGAGUAUUCCCGCGACAGGCUGAAGUGCACUUGGGAUUCUGAUGUUGAUGUCCCAGACCUUGGUUUUUAUUACUGGUUAUCUCAGAAAAAAAUGGUAAAAAAGUGCAACGAGAUGAAGACUGGAGAAUGCGUCAUCAACGAUACAUUUCACAACGAAGAAAUGUUCUACCUGUUCAAUGGCACUUAUAAGGGUCAACCUGUAAACAACACAUUCAAGAAUAAGAGUGUAAUGCAUUCCGGUAAAC